AUUGCCUAUCACCUGAUGCCAGAAGAUGAUGAUCGUGAUUGGCAGGUUAAAUGUACAGAGACAAUACGUUGAUAGUAGAAGAUGUUUAGUAACAUUUUAAUAUUUUCCGUCCUGUGAUAAUGUAGUUCAGUUUUGUAUUUAAGAAAUGUUGUUUAUUGUAGAAUGGUAUAGAAAACAGGUGUAGAAAUGAAAUUUAGUACUUCGUAUUAUGAACGUAAAGAAAUCAAAAUUGUUUAGUCUAAUUAUUUACUGUAGAAUGUGAAAUAAAUAUCUCUAUGAAAAGAGUUUUUUUUUAACAUUAUAACAUUUUAUACAGAUGGAUUAAGACAUAUUGCUAUAGUAGAUUUUUAUAUUGCUUAAGGUUAUGA
Molecule: long non-coding RNA, 368 nt
Filed under: Mytilus galloprovincialis (Mediterranean mussel)
Lineage: Eukaryota; Metazoa; Mollusca; Bivalvia; Mytilida; Mytilidae
Source: RNAcentral